Molecule: ribosomal RNA, 467 nt
Filed under: uncultured bacterium
Lineage: Bacteria
Description: partial 16S ribosomal RNA
Rfam family: Bacterial small subunit ribosomal RNA
Source: RNAcentral
GACGAACGCUGGCGGCAUGCUUAACACAUGCAAGUCGAACGGAAAGGCCUCUUUCGGGGGGUACUCGAGUGGCGAACGGGUGAGUAACACGUGAGUAACCUGCCCUUGACUUUGGGAUAACUUCAGGAAACUGGGGCUAAUACCGGAUAGGAGCUCCUGCUGCAUGGUGGGGGUUGGAAAGUUUCGGCGGUUGGGGAUGGACUCGCGGCUUAUCAGCUUGUUGGUGGGGUAGUGGCUUACCAAGGCUUUGACGGGUAGCCGGCCUGAGAGGGUGACCGGCCACAUUGGGACUGAGAUACGGCCCAGACUGCUACGGGAGGCAGCAGUGGGGAAUAUUGCACAAUGGGUGGAAGCCUGAUGCAGCAACGCCGUGUGCGGGAUGACGGCCUUCGGGUUGUAAACCGCUUUCGCUCAUGACGAAGCUUUGUGUGACGGUAGUGGGUAAAGAAGCACCGGCUAACUACGUG